This 423-nucleotide ribosomal RNA is filed under the name uncultured Clostridium sp. Its description in RNAcentral is "bacterial SSU rRNA". It matches the Rfam family "Bacterial small subunit ribosomal RNA", at positions 355 to 794 of the family's 1533-position model. The record is from RNAcentral. Lineage: Bacteria; Bacillati; Bacillota; Clostridia; Eubacteriales; Clostridiaceae.
UGGGGAAUAUUGGACAAUGGGGGAAACCCGUACGAUCCAGCGACGCCGCGUGAGUGAAGAAGUAUUUCGGUAUGUAAAGCUCUAUCAGCAAGGAAGAAAUGACGGUACUUGACUAAGAAGCCCCGGCUAACUACGUGCCAGCAGCCGCGGUAAUACGUAGGGGGCAAGCGUUAUCCGGAUUUACUGGGUGUAAAGGGAGCGUAGACGGCAAAGCAAGUCUGAAGUGAAAGCCCCGGGCUCAACCCGGGAACUGCUUUGGAAACUGUUUAGCUAGAGUGCAGGAGAGGUAAGUGGAAUUCCUAGUGUAGCGGUGAAAUGCGUAGAUAUUAGGAGGAACACCAGUGGCGAAGGCGGCUUACUGGACUGUAACUGACGUUGAGGCUCGAAAGCGUGGGAGCAAACAGGAUUAGAUACCCUGGUAGU